AUGUCUAAGGCACGCAACGCCUUAGUUGUCACUGGCUUGGUGAUCUUUGCUGGUACCGGCCUAGCAUUUCCCUUCUACUUUGUGAAAUCAAAGAACAGGCCUAUUAUCGAUUCAACGAAGCCUCUGCCACCGCAGGCUACUUUCCGAGGACCGUAUGUGAACACUGGAUCGCGCGACAUAGGGCCUGAUCACACCGAGUACCCCAAGAAGUGA
Molecule: ribosomal RNA, 213 nt
Filed under: Triticum aestivum (bread wheat)
Lineage: Eukaryota; Viridiplantae; Streptophyta; Magnoliopsida; Poales; Poaceae
Description: partial small subunit ribosomal RNA
Source: RNAcentral